RNAcentral lists this ribosomal RNA (471 nucleotides) under uncultured organism. RNAcentral's name for it is "partial 16S ribosomal RNA". It matches the Rfam family "Bacterial small subunit ribosomal RNA", at positions 333 to 796 of the family's 1533-position model. The record is from RNAcentral.
ACACUCCUGCGGGAGGCAGCAGUGGGGAAUUUUGGACAAUGGGCGAAAGCCUGCUCCAGCAAUGCCGCGUGCAGGAUGAAGGCCUUCGGGUUGUAAACUGCUUUUGUACGGAACGAAAAAGCUCCUUCUAAUACAGGGGGCCCAUGACGGUACCGUAAGAAUAAGCACCGGCUAACUACGUGCCAGCAGCCGCGGUAAUACGUAGGGUGCGAGCGUUAAUCGGACUUACUGGGCGUAAAGCGUGCGCAGGCGGUUAUGUAAGACAGAUGUGAAAUCCCCGGGCUCAACCUGGGAACUGCAUUUGUGACUGCAUGGCUAGAGUACGGUAGAGGGGGAUGGAAUUCCGCGUGUAGCAGUGAAAUGCGUAGAUAUGCGGAGGAACACCGAUGGCGAAGGCAAUCCCCUGGACCUGUACUGACGCUCAUGCACGAAAGCGUGGGGAGCAAACAGGAUUAGAUACCCCGGUAGUCC